ACAAAAAUCUCUAUUAAUAAAGAAAAAGAGAAACUAAUUUAUAUGUUACAUGAGAAAGAAUUGGAUCCUAAAAGAAGAGGGUUAGAACUUUGUACAAGGUUAGAUGGUACUACUGUCGGACUCCGGUGCUUUACAAUCGAAAAACAUGUGCUCGGGAGCUGGAAAAAUAUGCCAAUGAAUGAUGAACGCCAAUGCGAGUUCUAUUGCAAUAGAAGACAUGUCCCGCUUCAAAAUUUCAUGUUGAAUUGAAGAAUCAGAUCCAUUAUCUUCAUAGCAAGCAUUAGAUGCAGAUAGAUUCUCAAGCAUUCUCAGUAGGCAUCCAUGCUGGGUCUAAAUUUGUCCAUUCCAGAAUAUUUUGCUGUGAUUUUUUCCGCAACAUGCCAUCAAAGAAUCAUCUCCUAAGCCUUUUUAUGUACAAAGAUCAGCCUGUAGCAAGAAUUCCCAAUCCUGCCGCAUUAAAUGACCUCAAGAGGCUAAUUAUCACAGCAUCAUCUUGGAAAGGGAGUUUACUUCAAUCUCAAAAGCAGUCCACGUAUUACACGCGAGUGGAUCUCUGCUCUUCGGCUGAGAAUGAUGUCAGUGCAAAGGAGUGAACAAACACGAUCUUCAAUUAUCUCUUCUGCACUCUUCCUUGUCAAGUCAAUGUCCUUAUCCUUCUCCAUUUCAGCCUCUUCCUCAGCUUUCUUCUUUGUUAUCUUUUUCACUCUUCCUUCUCAACUUACUUCCUUUACCCUUCUCCAUUCCAGCCUCUUUCUCAGCUUUCUUCUCCAUUUCAGCCUCUUUCUCAGCUUUCUUCUUCUCCAUCUCUGCUUGUUUGAUAUUUUCUUCAUGAGCUUUGAGAAACAACCUUAUAAAAUUUAACAUAGUUGCAGUAACUGCAAUUAAGAAAACGAAAAGUUAACUUGAGCAUUACAAAACAAAUAUCAGAUUAUAU
RNAcentral lists this long non-coding RNA (934 nucleotides) under Medicago truncatula (barrel medic). Its description in RNAcentral is "lncRNA gene14474". Lineage: Eukaryota; Viridiplantae; Streptophyta; Magnoliopsida; Fabales; Fabaceae. The record is from RNAcentral.